UCCAGAGAACUUAGCAGAGAUGCUUUGGUGCCUUCGGGAACUCUGAGACAGGUGCUGCAUGGCUGUCGUCAGCUCGUGUUGUGAAAUGUUGGGUUAAGUCCCGNAACGAGCGCAACCCUUAUCCUUUGUUGCCAGCGAUUCGGUCGGGAACUCAAAGGAGACUGCCGGUGAUAAACCGGAGGAAGGUGGGGAUGACGUCAAGUCAUCAUGGCCCUUACGGCCAGGGCUACACACGUGCUACAAUGGCGCAUACAAAGAGAAGCGACCUCGCGAGAGCAAGCGGACCUCAUAAAGUGCGUCGUAGUCCGGAUUGGAGUCUGCAACUCGACUCCAUGAAGUCGGAAUCGCUAGUAAUCGUAGAUCAGAAUGCUACGGUGAAUACGUUCCCGGGCCUUGUACACACCGCCCGUCACACCAUGGGAGUGGGUUGCAAAAGAAGUAGGUAGCUUAACCUUCGGGAGGGCGCUUACCACUUUGUGAUUCAUGACUGGGGUGAAGUCGUAACAAGGUAGGCGUACUACA
Molecule: ribosomal RNA, 522 nt
Filed under: uncultured bacterium
Lineage: Bacteria
Description: bacterial SSU rRNA
Rfam family: Bacterial small subunit ribosomal RNA
Source: RNAcentral